UAAUCUCAUGAGGUAACUCUGGAUAGGCCUAUUUCGGGGUACCUAGUGAGAUGCGA
This 56-nucleotide microRNA precursor is filed under the name Limulus polyphemus (Atlantic horseshoe crab). RNAcentral's name for it is "Lpo-Mir-216-P2h_pre stem-loop". Lineage: Eukaryota; Metazoa; Arthropoda; Merostomata; Xiphosura; Limulidae. The record is from RNAcentral.